This 446-nucleotide ribosomal RNA is filed under the name Lactiplantibacillus plantarum. RNAcentral's name for it is "bacterial SSU rRNA". It matches the Rfam family "Bacterial small subunit ribosomal RNA", at positions 92 to 524 of the family's 1533-position model. The record is from RNAcentral. Lineage: Bacteria; Bacillati; Bacillota; Bacilli; Lactobacillales; Lactobacillaceae.
UGAGUGGCGAACUGGUGAGUAACACGUGGGAAACCUGCCCAGAAGCGGGGGAUAACACCUGGAAACAGAUGCUAAUACCGCAUAACAACUUGGACCGCAUGGUCCGAGCUUGAAAGAUGGCUUCGGCUAUCACUUUUGGAUGGUCCCGCGGCGUAUUAGCUAGAUGGUGGGGUAACGGCUCACCAUGGCAAUGAUACGUAGCCGACCUGAGAGGGUAAUCGGCCACAUUGGGACUGAGACACGGCCCAAACUCCUACGGGAGGCAGCAGUAGGGAAUCUUCCACAAUGGACGAAAGUCUGAUGGAGCAACGCCGCGUGAGUGAAGAAGGGUUUCGGCUCGUAAAACUCUGUUGUUAAAGAAGAACAUAUCUGAGAGUAACUGUUCAGGUAUUGACGGUAUUUAACCAGAAAGCCACGGCUAACUACGUGCCAGCAGCCGCGGUAAU